GAAACAAAUGACAGGAGUGAAGGCAUUCAUUCACAUUCACAUGGAUGGCAUUCUAGAUUUAAACUCUAACAGUGUGGAAACAUUUUAUGAUUUUAACAUAGACACAACAAUAUCUUUUU
Egretta garzetta (little egret) is the source of this 119-nucleotide non-coding RNA. Lineage: Eukaryota; Metazoa; Chordata; Aves; Pelecaniformes; Ardeidae. The record is from Rfam.